CUAGAAGGAAAGCGGCGAACGGGUGAGUAAUACGUUGGCAUCUGCCCCUAGGUCAGGGAUAGCCCACUGAAAAGUGGAUUAAUACCGGAUAGUCUCUUCGGAGUAAAAAUUUAUUGCCUAGGGAGGAGCCUUCGUUCUAUCAGCUUGUUGGUGAGGUAAUAGCUCACCAAGGCUAUGACGGAUAACUGGUCUGAGAGGAUGAUCAGUCACAAUGGAACUGAGACACGGUCCAUACUCC
This 238-nucleotide ribosomal RNA is filed under the name uncultured bacterium. RNAcentral's name for it is "partial 16S ribosomal RNA". It matches the Rfam family "Bacterial small subunit ribosomal RNA", at positions 84 to 339 of the family's 1533-position model. The record is from RNAcentral.